CAGCGCCACGAGUGGGAGCCGCGUUUAUUGGGCCUAAAGCGUCCGUAGCUGGUCUGGAAAAUCUCUUGUGAAAUUGUGGAGCUUAACUUUACAACGUGCAGGAGACACUACCAGACUUGGAACCGGGAGAGGUAAGGAGUAUGCUAGGGGGAGCGGUAAAAUGUUAUAAUCCCUAGUAGACUACCUGUGGCGAAGGCGCCUUACCAGAACGGGUUCGACAGUGAGGGACGAAAGCCAGGGGAGCGAUCAGGAUUAGAUACCCGAGUAGUCC
RNAcentral lists this ribosomal RNA (271 nucleotides) under uncultured archaeon. Its description in RNAcentral is "partial 16S ribosomal RNA". It matches the Rfam family "Archaeal small subunit ribosomal RNA", at positions 477 to 747 of the family's 1478-position model. The record is from RNAcentral.